Unclassified non-coding RNA from Otolemur garnettii (small-eared galago), 101 nucleotides. It matches the Rfam family "Y RNA". Rfam says of the family: Y RNAs are components of the Ro ribonucleoprotein particle (Ro RNP), in association with Ro60 and La proteins. The Y RNAs and Ro60 and La proteins are well conserved, but the function of the Ro RNP is not known. The record is from Ensembl. NCBI's taxonomy places the organism in Eukaryota, Metazoa, Chordata, Mammalia, Primates, Galagidae.
GGCUGGUCCAAUGCAGUGGUGUUUACAACUAAUUGAUCACAAUCAGUUACAGAUUACUUUCUUCCUUCUCCACUCCCACUGCUUCACUUCACCAGCCUAAA